RNAcentral lists this ribosomal RNA (253 nucleotides) under uncultured bacterium. RNAcentral describes it as "partial 16S ribosomal RNA". It matches the Rfam family "Bacterial small subunit ribosomal RNA", at positions 524 to 776 of the family's 1533-position model. The record is from RNAcentral.
UACGAGAGGCCCAAACGUUAUUCGGAAUUACUGGGCGUAAAGCGUGCGCAGGCGGUUCGUUAUGUCCGAUGUGAAAGCCCCGAGCUCAACUUGGGAAUGGCAUUGGAAACUGGGGGACUUGAGUGCAGAAGAGGAAAGCGGAAUUCCACGUGUAGCGGUGAAAUGCGUAGAGAUGUGGAGGAACACCAGUGGCGAAGGCGGCUUUCUGGUCUGUAACUGACGCUGAGGCGCGAAAGCGUGGGGAGCAAACAGG